This 3777-nucleotide unclassified non-coding RNA is filed under the name Orbicella faveolata. Its description in RNAcentral is "protein FAM53A-like, transcript variant X2". The record is from RNAcentral. Lineage: Eukaryota; Metazoa; Cnidaria; Anthozoa; Scleractinia; Merulinidae.
GUUAAAUCCUGUUUUAAAGUAUGAAUGUACAAACACUGGAGAGGUUUAGCCUUGAGAGUAUAGCGAAAGACAUGAAUUUCUGGUGCAAGGCUUCUAUUGAAGACCUCAAUCGGUUCAAGUAUAUUCUGGGUCCGUUUGAUGGCUUGAACUCUGACCUUAUUCAAGAGCUCUUGAAUAUUCUUUGUGAAAAGAAGGAGUUAAAAGUGUCUCAUCUUCAUGUCCUUGCUCACUCUAAUAUUAAACAUCUGGACUUGAGUGUGUGUAGCUCUCUCAUCACUGAUCAAUUAAUUACUGCUGUGGGAUAUCGUUGUAAGAAAUUGGCACAGCUCUCUCUCAAGAACUGUUCACGUCUCACAGCAAAGGCAUUAAAAAAGCUUCCCAUAAACCUUCCAUGUCUUCAACUCAUUGACUUCAGUGGAUGCCUGGCUUGCACUGAUGAAGUGUUGAACUUGCUUGGUUCAUCUUGUCCUGAACUAAGAGUGCUUAGGGUAGAGUCGUGCUACCUGGUCACCGAUACUGGUGUAGACGGAUUGUGUGGAGAUAAUGGCAAUCCAAAGUGCAGAAAGCUACGAGAAGUGAACUUGACAUCAACUGGCAUAACCAGUUAUGGAAUACAGAAAAUGUUGGUCUCUCAACUAAAUUUACAAAAAUUUUCUUUGGCGAUGACAGGGUCAGGGGGGGCCUUUGAGUUGAGCAGUGGAUGCCUGACCAGAAGUUUAAACCUCAGCUUGGUGGAUUUAUCCUACACACCCAUCACAGAUACAUUUGUCAAGAGUCUUUGUGAAAUUUGCCCUCUGCUUUGUGAGCUCUCGAUUAAUGGCUGUUCAUCUGUUACAGCGGUUUCUUUACAGUGCAUUGCAUCACUAACACAUCUCAGGGUGCUGAGUAUCGCUGACAACAAAGCACUCAAAUUUCAUCCUCAUCUUGUGCAAUUUCUUAACAAAUCUGGUAACUCAUUGCAGAUGCUGAACAUUUCUGGAAUGGAAAACAUUGAUACUGAAGUACUUGGCACUUGUUGUAAGUCUUUAAAAUGCCUUAUCAUGGCAGACUGUAGAGAUGUAACCGGAAGCUGUAUUCAUGUUUCAACUGACCAAGAAAGCAAGUCUUUGACUUUAGCUCAAGCUUGCCCAAAGCUAAAUACUCUAAACCUUCACAACUGCCAUUUUACUCAACAUAAGCCUUUGGCGGAGCACCUAACUUCGAUUUUAUCCAACUCUGCAGAGUUUAAAGAACUUGAUCUUUCUGGCAUUGAACAUUUGAGUGGUGAAAUUAUUACACAGUUUAUACGAUCCUCAGUCUUGUCAAAAUUGAGGUCAAUGAAUCUUUUAAGGUGUUGUGAGAUCACUGUGGAGCCAGUUGAAUUGCUGUUAGAAACAUGUACAGGCCUUACUCAGUUAAAUCUAUCUCACUGCCAGAACAUAUCUUUGAGAGAUGCUGAACAUUUAAGGAAGAUGUCCAGAGGUCGUGGUCUUAACCUUAACAGUCCUAACAUUACCUGGGUAUAACUGUCAAAUUUACUUAUUUUAAAAAGGUGUUGGUAAAACGGAAAACCAUGUGAAACAUGAGUCCAACCUGAGUGAGUCCCGGUUAGACAUUUCGUGACUUUUUUUAUAUAAAAUAUCAGUUCAAAAUUGUAAUUCACGUGACCAUUAUAUCCAUAAAAGUCGAAGAGUGUGUUUGAACCUAGAUUACAGUUUCUGUGAACAAAAAUCUAUGGCAUACGUAUGUGAAGCCACUAGGCCUUUGCCCACUCCUCCCCUACUGCCGAUGGGAUGUUUGCCCGUCACAGACCCCCCAGAAUUCUGUAAGCUUGCCCUAACAAUUUACCGGUACUCAUUUAUACACCUGGGUGCAGACGGACACUGCGAGAGUAAAUUAUCUUUCUCCAAAAUUCGAUGGCAAGCACUCGAACUCUACCAGCUCGACCCGGAGUCCAACACGACAACCACGAGGACAUCGCGUCAACGGAAGAGGAGUCCACAGAAGACUGGGAGAAGAUGGGGAUAAUGGUGCUUGCUAUUUGCUUUGUCGUGAAACUGCGUGAUAGGGGGAAAUGGUGCGGGAAUUUUCAUCCUUUGCUUCUCUAAUUUCCAGUGCUUCCGGUCGGUUAAGUCCUUCAUGCUCUUACCCAAUUUCUGAUUUUUAGCGAUUUUGGCUCCUGACCUAACCCGUAAAUCGAUAAAUUAUGAUUUUUUCGGACGUAUUUCAAUUACUUCUGGGUGGGAAGUGGUUCCAGAAAGCCUCUAAAAUCCUCAAUGUCAAUUGCACUACAUUUCUCAUCAGAUCAAGAGAGGGUUAAAAAACGGAUAUUUCAAAAGAGCCUAAAACAUCCCUAUUUCUGAGUAAAAUGGUUUAAACCUAAUACCACUUCCGAGGCCAAAAUUUUGCGGGUUUGUGAAGGGAAGUCCUUCGGCCUGGGAGUCGCAGAGCUCUGGCGAAACUCGCACGCUGAUUGGUUAUAUUGAAGCGAGGCACCCAGCUUCAACGCAAGGCAGUUCUGUCAUCUCUGCACUGAGAAAGAAGACGACAAAAAAUUCAAUCGCGGUUUGAAUUUAUUCAUUUGUCUAAACAAAAAUUGUCGGCUUGCUGCAAUUUUUAAAGUUAAAUUUCAUGCGAAAUUCAAUCGCCAGCCAAUGAAUUUCCUUAUAGAAUUUCUAUCAAUGACGGGCAUGUAAAUGUCGAUUGUUGUACACGGCUUUGUUCCAUUUCAUACAUGUUUUCACUGUAUACUGCAGAUAUCAGUGCUCUCUUAAAAUGAAGACGAUUCAUGCACUUUAAUUUUUUGAGUAUGUCACAAGGCAGAAUAUUAAAGUAGCCACAUGGCUGAGAAUUUCGAGCCCUUUGAGAAAUGAAAUGUCAAAUUCACUAGUAAAACUAACACUUGAUUAUUUGGCUGUUUAAUAUCGACCUCCUAAGCUGACAUUUACAUGCAAAAAGCUCACGGGGCGGCGUUUUUUCCUUCAAUGAAAAGACAGCUGAUAUAUUUGACUAGUCCUUAUUAGAGUCAUAUUACAGCUCGCGGUCAGUAUUACACAGGUUUGAAACAUUUUGUCCAAUUGGCAACAAUAACAGAAACAACGGGGAAUAAAUUUUUAUUUCUUAACAUUUGUUUUAUUCACACGUUUACUGCACUAUUAUUCAAUAUUAUUCAGUGCUGGCUGCACUAAAUAAUAUCGAUCCACUUAGAUGCGUUUUACUCCACGCUUUUUACUGGCGAGCACCGAGGGAGAUCCUGUCAUUUGAAUCAGAUUAAGUUGACAGGAAAGCUGUCAAUCAGACAAUACAGACUGACAUUAAGAAAUAGCAGGUGCUUUACCGACAUGGUAUUUCCGUCACUCCUAUCUUUUUUGACACAUUAAUAUAUUUGUUGAUGAAUUUUACGCUUGGAAUUUAAUAAGCAUUGGCUUCGCUUCGAGACCAAGCUCAUGUUGGACGCGGAAUUGAAGGGCUUGUAGCUCCGCGGGGUUAGGAUUUCCAGCAAAUAAUAUAACGCAGUAGAAACUCAGCUGGAAGCACAUUUUAGUAAUCCUCUACUUAGCCCUCCUUAGUGGCUGUUUAUGUCUCAAAGGCCUUUACUGUGUUGGUUAGAUGCAGCGAUCGAAUGAAAUUUACUACUACUACUACGAAAUACGAAACUGAACUCAACAUGUCACGGUGCCGACAAAGGGUAGUCGACAAGUACGAGUGAAUGCAGACUACGGUGAGCGUCACUCAUUAUUCUGUCAUUGACUACAAAGAAGUGUAGAUCGUGGUCUUCAUGCGGCGAAACCACCAUGG